UACGGAAGGCAGCAGUGGGGAAUAUUGCACAAUGGGCGAAAGCCUGAUGCAGCUAUGCCGCGUGUAUGAAGAAGGCCUUAGGGUUGUAAAGUACUUUCAUCGGGGAGGAAAAAACAAAACUAAUAAUUUUAUUUCUUGACGUUACCCGAAAAAGAAGCACCGGCUAACUCCGUGCCAGCAGCCGCGGUAAUACGGAGGGUGCUAGCGUUAAUCAGAAUUACUGGGCGUAAAGAGCACGUAGGUGGUUUUUUUAAGUCAGAUGUGAAAUCCCUGGGCUUAACCUAGGAACUGCAUUUUGAAACUGAAAUACUAGAGUAUCGUAGAGGGAGGUAGAAUUCUAGGUGUAGCGGUGAAAUGCGUAGAUAUCUGGAGGAAUACCUGUGGCGAAAGCGGCCUCCUAAACGAAUACUGACACUGAGGUGCGAAAGCUGGGGAGCAAACAGGGAUUAGAUA
This 453-nucleotide ribosomal RNA is filed under the name uncultured bacterium. RNAcentral's name for it is "bacterial SSU rRNA". It matches the Rfam family "Bacterial small subunit ribosomal RNA", at positions 340 to 784 of the family's 1533-position model. The record is from RNAcentral.